Thunnus maccoyii (southern bluefin tuna) is the source of this 1970-nucleotide long non-coding RNA. RefSeq lists it as uncharacterized. NCBI's taxonomy places the organism in Eukaryota, Metazoa, Chordata, Actinopteri, Scombriformes, Scombridae. The record is from RefSeq and is a predicted model, not a curated record. The transcript is spliced from 3 exons.
UGACAGUUUUGUUGUUUUUUUUUUCCAGUGUCACUGGUUUCCAGUUUCAGCUUUAGAGAGCUGCUUGGCCUACAUUACCCAGCAUGCCUUGCGGUCCAAUUAAGAUAUCCCAGAGCGAUGGCAUCAUGGCAAAGAUUUUGAGCCAGACUGUUAUGUGAGGAGCCGCUGACCGGGUGAGACCCGCCGGUCAUCUUGCAGCAGCAGCCCAAGUCCUGCGUCAUCAUCCCCAGGAGAAAAAGAUCUGAUAAAUCGAUCUGUGCAGCUCUUUGAUUGAGCUGACAUGACUUAUAAGAUGAUGGCCUGCUCCGUCUGAAUGCAUGGCCCUGUUUGUUUCUUGGAGCUGUUGUGAUUCUGUUAACCCCACAUCUACUAUUAGACAACUCUACCAGAAAUGCAACACGUCACCACAGGAGGGAACAGAGGUCUGAAAACUUUAUCGUCCAAUUACUCCAGGCAGGCACCCUGAGUUUUGGUCCAGUGGAGAUUUUACAGACAGGCGUGUCCGCCACUGCACUGUCAUCAGGAUAAGGAUGUCAAAAUUUGAGAUGAAAAGUGAGGCUUGAAAAAGGUAUGGGUAGAGAUCUAGCUGCUACAGUCUUUUGUCUUGAGUUCAACCCUAUCUAAGCUGACAUCACUGUGAUAAGGUUAAGCCUGGAUAUGUAAGUGGAAAAGUAUGAGGAAUGCACAUGUGUGUCUAUUCAGGCACACUGCUCUGUAGCAUGCAUUAAAGCCCACUGAAUGCUUCAGUAUGAACAUUAUGUGAAUGCUAUGACCUUUACAGUCACCACAUUUCAAGCCAAUUGAACGCCUAUGGGAGAUUUUGGAGUGAUGUUUUUGUGGUUCUUAAGUACAAUUUAAAGUACUCGUCUCCUUUUUAUGCUACUUUAUACUUUCAUAACUCCACUACAUUCCAGAGGGAACUAUUAUACUUUUUACUCAACUGCAUGUAUGACUGAUAAGUAUAGUUUUUAGUUACUUUCCGAAUUAAAAUUUUACAGACAAAACCUGUGAUGAGCACAUAACAUAUGACACAUAGCUACUGAUCAAAUUACAGACAGUAAGAGUUGCGUGUGCUGUUGUUUUAUUAUUAUAUUGCAUGUUCUUUUUGUGCUCCAUACUGUGUGAUCAUGGUCUUGAGUCAAAAUGAAUGAAAUGAAAAUGAAAUGAGAGGUUAAUCAUGGACUGUCCCUUUCUCCCUGAGGUCCCCGAGUUAAUUUGGUUAAAAUUUGUGUAAAUGCAACUUUAUUUAAGAAUAUACAACAUGUUAGCAUAAUAUCAACUGGAAUAGUUAAGGUAUUAGGCAUUUUACUAGAUUUUGACACAGGGUCCUUCUGAGUGACAAUAAGUUGGUAACGUUGUUGAGGAGUUGAAGGUGUGCAGCCUGUCGCUUUCAAUUCUUAAUCUAACUGCUCAUGUUGCUCCUUUUUGUCCCAUUACUCCCUGCAAUAAUUAGAACUGAUGUGCUGUCAAAGAUAGUUUCCUUGUUUUUGUAGAUGCAUUUCUAAUGAAAAAUUGCAGUAACCACUAACCACGUUGACAAAUACAUUGUGUUUCCUGUGGCUUCUCCACAUGUGUUUCACAAGUUGAACACAUUCUAUGUGACAGUAGGAUUUUCUGCAGUAGACUUUUUGUUUGCAGGGGCAGGAACUUAACACAGCUCUGAUACAAUGUAAAGAGAGUGAACAGUAAACAGUAUGGCUAUUAUCAUACAGAUAAAAUUAUGCUGGAUUUCAUGUAUGUCCUGUACCCUGUGAAUCACUCCUGCAUGUGAAGGCAAUUUGGAUCCAGAGUGGAAAUGGCAGACUAACUUAUAAUGGAGUGUUUAUGCUGUGGUAUUGCUACUUUUACUUCAGUAAAUGAGUAGAAUACUUCUUGUACCACUAUUCACCACCAUCAUCAAAUCACCCAAUCACCAAAUGAGAUGGAAUAUCUUUUUGGAAAAACCAUCAUCCUUCCAGCAGCCCUGCAGA